AAAAAAAAAAAAAAUCAAAUUCACUUGCAUCCACAAACUAAUACCCAAAAAUUUACAGAAAACACAAAAAUCGAUAAGAAAACUCAGAACAAUCGAAAACAACGCCGAUCUACAAAAAUUCAAGUUCCAACGUCGAAGUCAACAGAUACAAAAAUUCCAAAACCCGAUAAAGUAACAAAUUCAUACAAUAACAAACAAUUAUUCAAAUCUGAAUCCAAAAUCAUGAAAACAAAAUCAACGAAACCGAUUAUUCACCUAUUUCUCUCGAUUUUUGUUAUUAUAGGUUUUUUCUCAUCAAUUAGAAUUUCAAUUUCAAUUUCAGGAUGAGGUUUAUGAAUAGGAAUAAGAAACGAGAAACCCUAGGUGGAUGAGGCGGCGGAUAAAAGGUUCGAGAAAGACGGCGCCUGAGAGAGAAGGGAUUAGGACGNNNNN
RNAcentral lists this long non-coding RNA (432 nucleotides) under Trifolium pratense (red clover). RNAcentral's name for it is "long non-coding RNA (TPRA_LNC011963)". Lineage: Eukaryota; Viridiplantae; Streptophyta; Magnoliopsida; Fabales; Fabaceae. The record is from RNAcentral.